AUCUUUGCGCUUGGGGCAAUGACGCAGCUUAUGAGGUUAUACCGAGGCGCGUCUAUUGCUGGUUGAAAACUAUUUCCAAACCCCCUCUCUGGCCCACCUGGGCCACUGAGAAUUUCUGGAAGGGCUCUUUCUCUUCGGAGAGAGUAAAGCC
Small nuclear RNA from Oryza sativa Japonica Group (Japanese rice), 151 nucleotides. It matches the Rfam family "U4 spliceosomal RNA". Rfam says of the family: U4 small nuclear RNA (U4 snRNA) is a component of the major U2-dependent spliceosome. The structure of U4 snRNA from yeast and human has been reported. NCBI's taxonomy places the organism in Eukaryota, Viridiplantae, Streptophyta, Magnoliopsida, Poales, Poaceae. The record is from Rfam.